CCUACGGGUUGCAGCAGUGGGGAAUAUUGCACAAUGGGCGAAAGCCUGAUGCAGCAACGCCGCGUGAGCGAUGAAGGCCUUCGGGUCGUAAAGCUCUGUCCUCAAGGAAGAUAAUGACGGUACUUGAGGAGGAAGCCCCGGCUAACUACGUGCCAGCAGCCGCGGUAAUACGUAGGGGGCUAGCGUUAUCCGGAAUUACUGGGCGUAAAGGGUGCGUAGGUGGUUUCUUAAGUCAGAGGUGAAAGGCUACGGCUCAACCGUAGUAAGCCUUUGAAACUGGGAAACUUGAGUGCAGGAGAGGAGAGUGGAAUUCCUAGUGUAGCGGUGAAAUGCGUAGAUAUUAGGAGGAACACCAGUUGCGAAGGCGGCUCUCUGGACUGUAACUGACACUGAGGCACGAAAGCGUGGGGAGCAAACAGGAUUAGAUACCCUAGUAGUC
RNAcentral lists this ribosomal RNA (439 nucleotides) under uncultured bacterium. Its description in RNAcentral is "bacterial SSU rRNA". It matches the Rfam family "Bacterial small subunit ribosomal RNA", at positions 338 to 795 of the family's 1533-position model. The record is from RNAcentral.